RNAcentral lists this ribosomal RNA (397 nucleotides) under Klebsiella pneumoniae. RNAcentral's name for it is "bacterial SSU rRNA". It matches the Rfam family "Bacterial small subunit ribosomal RNA", at positions 382 to 796 of the family's 1533-position model. Lineage: Bacteria; Pseudomonadati; Pseudomonadota; Gammaproteobacteria; Enterobacterales; Enterobacteriaceae. The record is from RNAcentral.
CCUGAUCCAGCCAUGCCGCGUGAGUGAAGAAGGCCUUAGGGUUGUAAAGCUCUUUUGGCGGGGACGAUAAUGACGGUACCCGCAGAAUAAGCCCCGGCUAACUUCGUGCCAGCAGCCGCGGUAAUACGAAGGGGGCUAGCGUUGUUCGGAAUCACUGGGCGUAAAGCGCACGCAGGCGGAUUGAUAAGUCAGGGGUGAAAUCCCGGAGCUCAACUUCGGAAUUGCCUCUGAUACUGUUCGGCUAGAGAGUAGUUGCGGUAGGCGGAAUGUAUGGUGUAGCGGUGAAAUGCUUAGAGAUCAUACAGAACACCGAUUGCGAAGGCAGCUUACCAAGCUACUUCUGACGUUGAGGCACGAAAGCGUGGGGAGCAAACAGGAUUAGAUACCCUGGUAGUCC